UAUAAUAGUGUGCUCUUGAAAAUAAUUUUGUAGUUUCCGUGAAGUGAGCAAGAUUGCGUAAAGCAGCUUCUGUAUUGGCGGGUACCGGGUCUUGGAGUUGGAGAGUACUUCGCUGACGAAGUAUACGGGUCUCUGGAUUUUAUAAACGUGGCCUAGUUCAGACCGUUAGACUACUACUGCGGUGCUGAUGAUGUGAGUAAUAGCCGCUAUGUAUAGGAGCAAGUCCUCGUUUGGAGAUGGAGCAGUGAGGAUUGGUGGUUUUGACAGAAAGUCUUUGAGUUGUGUCAAUGCUUUGUCUGCCUCUUCUGUCCAUUUAAACUUGUCUUGUCAUUUGAGAAGCUUGAAGAAGGGUAGUCCC
This 358-nucleotide long non-coding RNA is filed under the name Setaria viridis. RNAcentral's name for it is "long non-coding RNA (SVIR_LNC007783)". Lineage: Eukaryota; Viridiplantae; Streptophyta; Magnoliopsida; Poales; Poaceae. The record is from RNAcentral.